This 908-nucleotide ribosomal RNA is filed under the name uncultured bacterium. RNAcentral describes it as "bacterial SSU rRNA". It matches the Rfam family "Bacterial small subunit ribosomal RNA", at positions 102 to 1010 of the family's 1533-position model. The record is from RNAcentral.
ACGGGUGAGUAACGCGUAUGCAACCUGCCUUUAACAGAGGGAUAGCCCAUAGAAAUGUGGAUUAAUACCUCAUAGUUCUUUUGUUCCGCAUGGGAUGAAAGAUAAAGCUCCGGCGGUUAAAGAUGGGCAUGCGUGACAUUAGCUAGUUGGUAAGGUAACGGCUUACCAAGGCAACGAUGUCUAGGGGUUCUGAGAGGAUGAUCCCCCACACUGGUACUGAGACACGGACCAGACUCCUACGGGAGGCAGCAGUGAGGAAUAUUGGUCAAUGGGCGCAAGCCUGAACCAGCCAUCCCGCGUGAAGGAUGAAGGCCCUAUGGGUCGUAAACUUCUUUUAUACACCAAGAAAAAGCAGGACGAGUCCUGUCCCGACGGUAGUGUAUGAAUAAGCAUCGGCUAACUCCGUGCCAGCAGCCGCGGUAAUACGGAGGAUGCGAGCGUUAUCCGGAUUCAUUGGGUUUAAAGGGUGCGUAGGCGGCUUUUUAAGUCAGUGGUGAAAUCUUGCCGCUUAACGGUAAAAUUGCCAUUGAUACUGAUAAGCUUGCGUACAAUUGAGGUAAGCGGAAUGUGUAGUGUAGCGGUGAAAUGCUUAGAUAUUACACAGAACACCGAUUGCGAAGGCAGCUUACUAAACUGUCACUGACGCUGAUGCACGAAAGCGUGGGGAGCGAACAGGAUUAGAUACCCUGGUAGUCCACGCCGUAAACGAUGAUCACUCGCUGUAUGCGAUACACAGUAUGCGGCCAAGCGAAAGCAUUAAGUGAUCCACCUGGGGAGUACGAUCGCAAGGUUGAAACUCAAAGGAAUUGACGGGGGCCCGCACAAGCGGAGGAACAUGUGGUUUAAUUCGAUGAUACGCGAGGAACCUUACCUGGGCUUAAAUGGGGAACGACAGCUGCCGAAAGGUA